This 1871-nucleotide ribosomal RNA is filed under the name Triticum aestivum (bread wheat). RNAcentral's name for it is "partial small subunit ribosomal RNA". Lineage: Eukaryota; Viridiplantae; Streptophyta; Magnoliopsida; Poales; Poaceae. The record is from RNAcentral.
CUUUUCGUCUCGGUACUGUCGUUAUUUGUUGUCCUUCUGUGUGUGCGUGUGCUGUCGCUGGCUGCCUGUCUCUCGGCCUCCCUCCCUCGCCCGCUCGAGUAGACUAGACGGUUGGUGGUGGUCGCUGGUCGUUAAACCUAACAAGCCACUCCACGCACUCAAACCACCUAGACUUAGCGAUUUCGAGGGUAGAAAGGGGGUGAGGGGGAGGUGGUUGCGGCCGUUCUUCUCGUCCCCUCCUCGUGCGCCCCUAGAGCUCAGCUCGAGGGAGGGAGGGUACCGGUGGUCCCAGGAGCUGUGCGAGCGGCAGCGCCGCCUCCUGCCGACGCCCCCGUCGCCGCGGCGCGACGGCGAGUGGAAGAAGCUGCACGGGACCUAGAAGUGGCCGGGGCACCUCGCGCAGAAGAAGAUGGGGAUGGGCGUGGGCGGGCUCGUCAAGGCCCGGCGGGAGGACGGCGCGGAGCAGAGGAGGGAGAGGCGGCGCGACCCGUUCAAGAUGGGCGAGGAGCCGGCGCAGGCGGGGACGGGCCUGCCGCCGCCCAUGCUCAAGAAGAACGGGCGCCCUCCUCCCCCACCGCCACUGUGGCAGCUCGAGUGGCAGCGGCUCUCGCUCCUACUAAAGCUGCUCGAGAGGCCGCUGCCCGGGGCGCUGCAGCGGGCCGAGAUGAGCGAGCACGGCGCCGAAGGCCACCAACUCCCCUCGCCCCUGCCGCCCAAGCGCGAGCGGCGCCAGGUCCACUGGCACAAGCGGCCCGCGCCCCAGCGGCAGCCGCACAGCUAGGUGGUGCAGCGGACGCUACUGAGGUCGAUGUACGUAAAGCAGUUCUGGACCCGGCCGGUGACGGCGGACCGGAGACCACCCCUCCUGCGGCCGCGGCGCGACGGCGGGGGCGGAAAGGACCUGGCGCGCCAGUAGCGCCUGGGGGCUCCCGAACGGCGGUCCUGCGAGCUGCUUUACGCCGUCGACCGCCGGUUGCCCGGAGGAGGAGGUGGGGGCCGCGGCCAUCCGGGCGGCGGGUUCGACCAGUAAGCCAGCAAGUGCGACCGGGCGCCGACGUAGCUGUUCGACUUCGUCGCGCACCGCCGGCUGCGGUUCCUGCGCUGGUGGGUGACGAGGCGCAAGUGCCACCGCACGCGCAAGCGCACCCGGACGGACCGCGCGAGGACGAGGCGGCUGCGGGGGAGGGGGCGGAGGCUGCUCGCGCGCGUGGACGAGAAGAGCCACCUCACGGCCGCGGCGGACAGGGGCGGCCACGGCGUCCUCAUGGACCCGUUGACGGACGCCGGGACGAAGCACCUCCAGUCGUGCGCGCUGGACGAGCCGCGCCUGCCCCACUGCCGGCGGCGGCGCCGCUAGCCGCGCCGGUAGGCCCGCGACCUGCCCCUGCCGCACGACCGCCCGCGGCUCCCCACCAAGGUCUUCUAGGACAGCGACCACGGCGCCGCCGGGUACAGGCACCCGCCGAGCGGCGCCAUGCCGCACAUGCUGUGGCUGAAGCCCGACCCCGCCGGCUCGUUCCACCUCGACCACAGGUAGCUGUUCUGGGGGCCGUGCCACAGCGACCGGCUCCCGUGGCUGCCCGUCGCGCCGUAGCUCCAGCCGCACCGCGACGGCCUCCGGCUGUACCGCGCCAAGCGGCGUAGGAAGAGGCUGCCGGACGUCGUCGAUACUCUUUCCCUCUACUAGAACGACCACCAGUCAGUCACGUUCUUGUUCUACUCUAAUAACUAGUAUAACGUUUUAACGUUAACGAGGAUAUGAUCAUGAUGAUAUUAUAUUUUACAUAUAAACUCUCUUACCUACGAUUUUAAUGUUACUCCGAAACAAUUACCCCCAUUAAUCAAGAUCAUUCACUCUUUUAAUCAACACC